UACGAAGGGUGCAAACGUUGCUCGGAAUUAUUGGGCGUAAAGCGCACGUAGGCGGCUUUGCAAGUCGGAUGUGAAAUCCCUCGGCUUAACCAAGGAAGUGCAUCCGAAACUGCAGAGCUUGAGUACUUAAGAGGAUCGCGGAAUUCCCGGUGUAGAGGUGAAAUUCGUAGAUAUUGGGAAGAACACCGGUGGCGAAGGCGGCCAUCUGGACCGAGACUGACGCUGAGGCGCGAAAGCGUGGGGAGCAAACAGG
RNAcentral lists this ribosomal RNA (253 nucleotides) under uncultured bacterium. Its description in RNAcentral is "partial 16S ribosomal RNA". It matches the Rfam family "Bacterial small subunit ribosomal RNA", at positions 524 to 776 of the family's 1533-position model. The record is from RNAcentral.